UACGAAGGGGGCUAGCGUUGUUCGGAAUCACUGGGCGUAAAGCGCACGUAGGCGGACUGUUAAGUCAGGGGUGAAAUCCCGGAGCUCAACUUCGGAACUGCCUUUGAUACUGAUGGUCUUGAGACCGGAAGAGGUGAGUGGAAUUCCUAGUGUAGAGGUGAAAUUCGUAGAUAUUAGGAAGAACACCAGUGGCGAAGGCGGCUCACUGGUCCGGUUCUGACGCUGAGGUGCGAAAGCGUGGGGAGCAAACAGG
RNAcentral lists this ribosomal RNA (253 nucleotides) under uncultured bacterium. RNAcentral describes it as "partial 16S ribosomal RNA". It matches the Rfam family "Bacterial small subunit ribosomal RNA", at positions 524 to 776 of the family's 1533-position model. The record is from RNAcentral.